This 255-nucleotide ribosomal RNA is filed under the name uncultured bacterium. Its description in RNAcentral is "partial 16S ribosomal RNA". It matches the Rfam family "Bacterial small subunit ribosomal RNA", at positions 524 to 776 of the family's 1533-position model. The record is from RNAcentral.
UACGGAGGGUGCAAGCGUUAUCCGGAUUCACUGGGUUUAAAGGGCGCGUAGGCGGGCUGUCAAGUUUGGGGUGAAAUCCCGCGGCUCAACCGUGGAACUGCCUCAAAUACUGACGGUCUCGAGGGAGGUAGGGGCGAGCGGAACUGAUGGUGGAGCGGUGAAAUGCGUUGAUAUCAUCAGGAACUCCGGUGGCGAAGGCGGCUCGCUGGACCUUUUCUGACGCUGAGGCGGCGAAAAGCUAGGGGAGCAAACGGG